This 1901-nucleotide long non-coding RNA is filed under the name Dasypus novemcinctus (nine-banded armadillo). RNAcentral describes it as "lncRNA (ENSDNOG00000050021.1)". Lineage: Eukaryota; Metazoa; Chordata; Mammalia; Cingulata; Dasypodidae. The record is from RNAcentral.
CUGUUCUCCAGCAUCUCCUCCUUCUGACUCCUGGGUGGCAGAGAGUGACCUGGUUUGCCUAGGACCGCCUGGUGUCAAUGCUGAAUGUACCACAUCCCGGGAAACCCCUCAGUCUCUGGCCGACCCUAUUUUACAAGUCAUGGAACUGCAGGUCCCUCAAGCUCUGAGCUGUCCACUGUAUUUUGUUACAGGGACAGAGCCUGCCGUGGGAGCCUCUCCCCGAGGAGAAGCAGAGACUGUUCAUUACCCCCAGGCCGGCAGCUCCACGAGAGACGCCAAGGAUCCUGGGAGCCAGGCUGGCUCCGCCUGUCCUGGGGUCCCCCCGGAGAGGCCCGGGUGUGUUUCUUUGGCAGCGGCCACGUGGAAACGGUACCAAUUCCUUCAGUCACGCAGAAGGGCUUGUUGUUUGUAUGAUUUCUAGGGAUACCCUGUGUUUACUUUUCAUCCCGACUGACUCUAAAGAAAAAAUUCUCUGGCUAGCCAUGAGGAAAUGAGCCUGUGUUUCAACUGAGCUACAUUCUCACUUCUGAUGAAGCGAAUUCUUUAUUACUCCCUUGUUGACUGAGACUCACUCUUCUCCAGGUGAAACUUACCCGUCCUUGAAAAAUCAAGAUACUUUGAAAUAAAAUAAGAUGAAACGACGUGACAAUUCUUGCUCAUCCUUACCAAAAUUCCGAGACUCUGCCAGGCCUCGGCAUUUUCUUGCUGUGAUUUGAGGAGAAAUUGCACGGCUCGUUUAUGGCAGGGCGAGAACCAGAGGCAAGUCCUCCUGUCUGGCAUCGACGGUCUUCUCCCUUCAAAGCCUUGACCACCACGGGACCUUAAGGAAGGACAUUCAGGGCACAGUCUGGUUCAGUAGUCAAGAGGCAAAUGGUUUUGAGUUUGUAUGUCGGCACUGCCCUUUCUAGCUCUGUGACUGUUAGAACUUCCUUACCUUCCUCAGCUUCAAGUGCUCCCUAUGCCCUCUUUACUUUCUUCUAUUGCAGCCUGAUUUAGGGGUACCCCCUUAACUGGUAUUUCCGUAUGGUUCUGCCUUGAAUCCACAUAAAGACCUCUGGGACUUCAUCCCUGAAUCUUUUCUUGACUUUGUCCAACCACAAUUGUCCUUGCUUCUCCUCGGGGAGCUGACAUCAAUUUGAGGGAGAUUGGGAUCUCCUCUUCCACCGCAUUAGCAGAAAGUAACACAUUUGCACCCCCAAAUCUGACAUUAGUUUCUUUGAUUCUGUAACAAUUCAAAGCUCUCUCUCUUCUUUUUUUCUUCUUUUACAAAUCGAUGUGGAUGGUCAACCACCACACCAGGGAACCGCGAGAGUCUACAACUGCAAGCAGGAGAAUCGCAUCCAUCAGCCAUGUGGGAUCUAAGCCCCCUCUCGAUUUAGAGGUAGAGUGGACAUCGCCAUCCCAGGGUCCACAGGAUGGAGGAAUAAAUAUGGAUUAGAGUGGACUUGCUGGUAUUCUACCGUAGAUCUAUUGUGACUAGUAAUGGAAGAAAUUGUAUCAUUGAUGUGGAGACAGUGGCCACAGGAGUUGCUGAGGGCAGGGAGAAGGAAGAAGAGAUGUGAUGUGGGGGCAUUUUCAGGACUUAGAGUUGUCCUGAAUGAUAUUACAGAGAUAGAUGCAGGACAUUAUUUAUCCUGCCAUAACCCACUGAAUGGGUCGGGAGAGAGUGUAAACUGGAAUGUAAACUAUAACCCAUGUUGUGUAGCAGUGCUCCAAAAUAUAUUCAUCACAUGCAAUGAAUGCACCACACUGAUGGAAGAGGCUGUUGAUGUGUGAGGAGUGGGGGUGGGGUGGGAGUGGGGAGUGGGAUAUAUGGAAACCUCAUAUAUUUUUAAUAUAACAUUUUGUGUGAUCUAUGUACCUUUUAUUAAAAAAGACAAUAAAAAAUUUCAUUUUCAGAA